UGGGCUGCCAACGAAUUUUGAGGAUAAAUCUGGCACCGUGCCACUCAAUUGGUUGUAAGAGAGAUUCAGAAAACGCACCCUAGGAGAUAGGUCCCAAAACCACUCAGGAACAGAACCUGAAAGUCCAGCAUCUGAGAUAUCAAGUGAGAUAUAGUCAUUUUGAGUUUGAAGCCAUUUCGGGAAAUCAGGCCCCAAAUUGCAGGACAUAAGACAUAUUACAUCCAACUGAAAAGGAGGAAACCAAUCAGAGUUGAAUUUCAAAACCAGAGGGUUGUCAUUCAAGAACAAUUCCUGUAAUUGGGAGAGAUUCCAAAAGUGAGUUUCGG
Molecule: unclassified non-coding RNA, 326 nt
Filed under: Hevea brasiliensis (rubber tree)
Lineage: Eukaryota; Viridiplantae; Streptophyta; Magnoliopsida; Malpighiales; Euphorbiaceae
Source: RNAcentral